Long non-coding RNA from Penaeus indicus, 550 nucleotides. RefSeq lists it as uncharacterized. The transcript has 3 exons. NCBI's taxonomy places the organism in Eukaryota, Metazoa, Arthropoda, Malacostraca, Decapoda, Penaeidae. The record is from RefSeq and is a predicted model, not a curated record.
GAUCUCAAACGCUGAGAAGAAUAUUAAAAUGAAUAAUUUUUUAUCUAGGCUAUUCAGAAUUAACGAGAAUCUCCAAAGAUAAUGGUGUGUGCAAUAAGAUAAUCCAUUGUAUACUCAUUCAGUCAACCAUUUGGUAACUCUAAAGGAAAGCAAUCAUAUUUACAUUCCUGUUUCCGGAAAACGUGUUACGUGAUGCUUUGAGUACGUUAACCAGCUGGAAAAAAAAACAACUGAAACGGCACAGCAAACAAACAAAAUGGCGCCGACAGAGACCGUCGGGCAGGUUCUCUCCGCCGUGCUGUUGCUGUCCUUGUCGGCCUCCCCUGUCGGGGGCGUCGUUCUUCUGCCCAAUGGAACUCUCGACUUGACGGCGUGCAGCUGCGUGCCCUCGGGACAGUGCAUUCUUCAUCCGUUCCUGCCGACGAGUGACAUAGAUUUCAAGUGUCCAAGACGAGGUGAUGUAUGUUGCGUUCCUGAUAGUAUUGUGAUAGGUGAGUAAUCGAUGAGUAAUGGGUAAUGGGUGAGUAAUGGGUAAGUAAUGGGUAAUGGG